AGGUUGGGGGUUGCAGGUCAUUUAACUGUGAAUAUUGAUGGCUCCUGAUGUGGUCCCUUAUGAAACAUAAGUCUUAGAUUUGGAGAAAAGAAAAAAGCAAGGAAGCAAGGACUGUUGCAGUCUUCAUGAUAUAGGUAUCAUGAUAUAGGUACCUCACAGGACCAAAGUUAAAUGGGAACAUGUAUGUAACCCAUAUGUCCCUCAUACAUUUUCCACAUCAAUUUUAAAGAUGUUCACUCUUCAGGGUGAGGCUCUCAGGCCACAGAAGUUGAACAACUUGCUCCAAAUCAGAUUCUAACUGAAAUUAUAUCCAAGCAGGCUGGUCUCUGAACCCAUACACCAUCGCCCCCACAUGCCCACUUGGCCUAAGAUUUUUAAGCACAGAAGAAAAACUGAAUUGCUUCCCAUUACACGGGCCAUAGAAAUCUGUGGGAUAAAAACCAAGAGCCAAAAAUAGGAUAUCAAAGACAACAUGUAUCGAGUGUUUAUACUUCCUGGAAGGCAAACAGCCAAUGCUAAUUCCCCGAGAUGACUGUUCAGAGUGUGGGGCCUUUGGGAGGUGAUGGGGUCCUGGGGGACAGAAUGUUUCAUUCAUGCGUUCCACCUCAUGAAGAAAGCAAGAAGAUAUCCCAUGAACCAGGAAGCCGGCCUCUCGAGACAUUGGACCAGGUGGUGCCUUGAUCUAAGGCUGGACCAGGUGGUGCCCCGAUCUAAGGCUGGACCAGGCGGUGCCCCGAUCUAAGGCUGGACCAGGCGGUGCCCCGAUCUAAGGCUGGACCAGGCGGUGCCCCGAUCUAAGGCUGGACCAGGUGGUACCCUAAUCUAAGACUUUCAGCCUCCAGAACUGUGAUAAGCAGGUGUGUGCCUUUUACACAGCAACCUUGUCUGUGCAAGUUCACCACAGCCAGCUGAGUGAACUAAGACGGGUGUCAAAACAACAGUGGGACGAGAAUAUUCUUUUCACCAGGCAGCUCUGGAACAGCUAGAAAAGCAUGUGUGAGAAAAAAAAAGUUGUAUCCGAACCUCACAUCACAACUUUAUUAAAAAUAAAUAAAGAAAACAACAACAACAAAUGAACAAACAAAACCCCUUAAGCUUGUGUGUUAGAGCCAUGGAACUCAGAACACAGCACAAGAGCUGCCCCUGGUGGACGGAGGUUAAACAGGAGUUUUGAGACAUGGCACACUCCAGGACAAGUGAAUUAGCCUUAAGCAGAUUCAAAACUCUUGUGUUGCAAACACACCAUGAAUAAAGCAAAAAAGAAAACCCACAAAAUGAAAGAAAAUAUCUGAAAACCCUAUAAAUAUUGAGGAGCUUAUAUCCCAAAUAUUUAAGUAUUUACAGCUCAAUAACAAGAGACGAUCAUUUUCAAAUGGACAGAAGGUUGAAGUCAUUUCUCCAGAGAUGAGAAGCCAGUCUCCAAUAAGCAUACAAGAAGGCAGUCACAAGUAGUCGUGGUGGAGAUGCACACUACAGCUGCAACACAGUACCUCACUCUAGGGCACCUGCAGUGCAAAGGGCGCACACUAACCACUGCUACUAGGGUAUAAAGAAAUCCAGCUCCAUCUCUUACUAACAUAAAUGGAAGUGGGAGCCACAGAAAGCAACCUGGAGACUGAUCAAUAAAGCAGACCUGCACCGCGACCCCAACCAUUCCUCUCCUGGCUAUAUAGCCAAGAAUAAUUAAAGCAUGUACAGGAUACUUAGACCAGCACUCCAGAUAUCAGGGAAAAAAAAAGAAAAACACAGAAAUCAUCCACCGGCUGGUGAGUGAGUAAACAAACAAGAAUCAGUACCAAAAAGAAGCAAAUAUGAAUGCAGCUUAAAGAGUGAAUGAACUGUGUGAUCCUUUCCUAGUGAGAGAAGACAGGGCCUACAACCAUUUAUUAUGGGGUUCACCCAAUACAGAACACUCAACAUGUGUUACUCUGCAGAUACAGGAAGUAGAUUCACCUGCCGGUGCUGGUAGUCUAGAAACACAGCAGCAGCUCAUAAUGCAUCUCAGGUCUCUUUUGAAAUUAUCUAAAACAGUGAUCAAAGUCAUCAUUUGAUGAUGCAGCACAGUGUUUUCAAUAUACUGAAAAGCAAUGAAUUUGAUGUUGGAAA
This is a long non-coding RNA of Mastomys coucha (southern multimammate mouse), 2106 nucleotides long. RefSeq lists it as uncharacterized. The transcript is spliced from 2 exons. NCBI's taxonomy places the organism in Eukaryota, Metazoa, Chordata, Mammalia, Rodentia, Muridae. The record is from RefSeq and is a predicted model, not a curated record.